RNAcentral lists this ribosomal RNA (484 nucleotides) under uncultured bacterium. Its description in RNAcentral is "partial 16S ribosomal RNA". It matches the Rfam family "Bacterial small subunit ribosomal RNA", at positions 29 to 507 of the family's 1533-position model. The record is from RNAcentral.
AUUGAACGCUGGCGGAAUGCUUUACACAUGCAAGUCGAGCGGCAGCGCGGCCUUCGGGCUGGCGGCGAGCGGCGAACGGGUGAGUAAUGCAUCGGAACAUGCCCAGUCGUGGGGGAUAACACUUCGAAAGAAGUGCUAAUACCGCAUACGUCCUGAGGGGGAAAGCGGGGGAUCGCAAGACCUCGCGCGAUUGGAGUGGCCGAUGUCAGAUUAGCUAGUUGGUGGGGUAAAGGCCUACCAAGGCGACGAUCUGUAGCUGGUCUGAGAGGAUGAUCAGCCACACUGGGACUGGAACACGGCCCAGACUCCUACGGGAGGCAGCAGUGGGGAAUUUUGGACAAUGGGGGCAACCCUGAUCCAGCCAUGCCGCGUGAGUGAAGAAGGCCUUCGGGUUGUAAAGCUCUUUCGGCAGGAACGAAACGGUGGGCUCUAACAUAGUCCGCUAAUGACGGUACCUGAAGAAGAAGCACCGGCUAACUACGUG